UGACCUGCGGAAGGAUCAUUACCGAGUGUAGGGUUCCUAGCGAGCCCAACCUCCCACCCGUGUUUACUGUACCUUAGUUGCUUCGGCGGGCCCGCCAUUCAUGGCCGCCGGGGGCUCUCAGCCCCGGGCCCGCGCCCGCCGGAGACACCACGAACUCUGUCUGAUCUAGUGAAGUCUGAGUUGAUUGUAUCGCAAUCAGUUAAAACUUUCAACAAUGGAUCUCUUGGUUCCGGCAUCGAUGAAGAACGCAGCGAAAUGCGAUAACUAGUGUGAAUUGCAGAAUUCCGUGAAUCAUCGAGUCUUUGAACGCACAUUGCGCCCCCUGGUAUUCCGGGGGGCAUGCCUGUCCGAGCGUCAUUGCUGCCCAUCAAGCACGGCUUGUGUGUUGGGUCGUCGUCCCCUCUCCGGGGGGGACGGGCCCCAAAGGCAGCGGCGGCACCGCGUCCGAUCCUCGAGCGUAUGGGGCUUUGUCACCCGCUCUGUAGGCCCGGCCGGCGCUUGCCGAACGCAAAUCAAUCUUUUCCAGGUGACCUC
This 534-nucleotide ribosomal RNA is filed under the name Aspergillus sp. 20a. RNAcentral's name for it is "partial 18S ribosomal RNA". The stretch from base 204 to 357 matches the Rfam family "5.8S ribosomal RNA". Lineage: Eukaryota; Fungi; Ascomycota; Eurotiomycetes; Eurotiales; Aspergillaceae. The record is from RNAcentral.